GAUGAACGCUGGCGGCGUGCUUAACACAUGCAAGUCGAACGAUGAAGCCCAGCUUGCUGGGUGGAUUAGUGGCGAACGGGUGAGUAACACGUCAGUAACCUGCCCUUAACUCUGGGAUAAGCCUGGGAAACUGGGUCUAAUACCGGAUAGGAGCGUCCACCGCAUGGUGGGUGUUGGAAAGAUUUAUCGGUUUUGGAUGGACUCGCGGCCUAUCAGCUUGUUGGUGAGGUAAUGGCUCACCAAGGCGACGACGGGUAGCCGGCCUGAGAGGGUGACCGGCCACACUGGGACUGAGACACGGCCCAGACUCCUACGGGAGGCAGCAGUGGGGAAUAUUGCACAAUGGGCGCAAGCCUGAUGCAGCGACGCCGCGUGAGGGAUGACGGCCUUCGGGUUGUAAACCUCUUUCAGUAGGGAAGAAGCGAAAGUGACGGUACCUGCAGAAGAAGCACCGGCUAACUACGUG
Molecule: ribosomal RNA, 466 nt
Filed under: uncultured bacterium
Lineage: Bacteria
Description: partial 16S ribosomal RNA
Rfam family: Bacterial small subunit ribosomal RNA
Source: RNAcentral